UACGGCCACAUAGCGUUGAAACACCGGUUUCCGUAUGAUCAUCGAAGGUAAUCAAAAUCGAGUUUGGUCAGUACGUAGAUGGGUGACCACUUAGGAAUACCAGGUGCUGUAAG
This is a non-coding RNA of Acanthosepion pharaonis, 113 nucleotides long. The record is from the annotation of a GenBank genome assembly. NCBI's taxonomy places the organism in Eukaryota, Metazoa, Mollusca, Cephalopoda, Sepiida, Sepiidae.